UGGUAGCUCAGUCUGGUAGAGCACCCCUGAAAAGGGACUGUCGCAGGUUCGACUCCUGCCCAUU
This 64-nucleotide transfer RNA is filed under the name uncultured Acidovorax sp. It matches the Rfam family "tRNA", at positions 5 to 67 of the family's 71-position model. From Rfam's summary of the family: Transfer RNA (tRNA) molecules are approximately 80 nucleotides in length. Their secondary structure includes four short double-helical elements and three loops (D, anti-codon, and T loops). Lineage: Bacteria; Pseudomonadati; Pseudomonadota; Betaproteobacteria; Burkholderiales; Comamonadaceae. The record is from RNAcentral.